AUGUUAGAUUAGCCAUGCAUGUCUCAGUAUAAGCUUCUAUACGGCGAAACUGCGAAUGGCUCAUUAAAACAGUUAUAGUUUAUUUGGUGGUCAGCAAUUACAUGGAUAACCGUGGUAAUUCUAGAGCUAAUACAUGCGCCCAAACCCGACUUCGUGGAAGGGUUGUGUUUAUUAGAUACAGAACCAACCCAGGCUCCGCCUGGCCUUGAGGUGAUUCAUAAUAACCGAACGAAUCGCAUGGCUAUGCCGGCAAUAGACCAUUCAAGUUUCUGACCUAUCAGCUAUCGUCGGUAGGGUAUUGGCCUACCGUGGCAAUGACGGGUAACGGAGAAUUAGGGUUCGAUUCCGGAGAGGGAGCCUGAGAAACGGCUACCACAUCUAAGGAAGGCAGCAGGCGCGCAAAUUACCCAAUCCUGACGCAGGGAGGUAGUGACAAGAAAUAACAAUACAGGGCAUACAUGUCUUGUAAUUGGAAUGAGUAAACUUUAAAUCACUUUACG
This 500-nucleotide ribosomal RNA is filed under the name uncultured eukaryote. RNAcentral's name for it is "SSU rRNA". It matches the Rfam family "Eukaryotic small subunit ribosomal RNA", at positions 36 to 539 of the family's 1831-position model. The record is from RNAcentral.